GAUGAACGCUGGCGGCGUGCCUAAUACAUGCAAGUCGAGCGAACAGACGAGGAGCUUGCUCCUCUGACGUUAGCGGCGGACGGGUGAGUAGCACGUGGAUAACCUACCUAUAAGACUGGGAUAACUUCGGGAAACCGGAGCUAAUACCGGAUAAUAUAUUGAACCGCAUGGUUCAAUAGUGAAAGACGGUUUUGCUGUCACUUAUAGAUGGAUCCGCGCCGCAUUAGCUAGUUGGUAAGGUAACGGCUUACCAAGGCAACGAUGCGUAGCCGACCUGAGAGGGUGAUCGGCCACACUGGAACUGAGACACGGUCCAGACUCCUACGGGAGGCAGCAGUAGGGAAUCUUCCGCAACGGGCGAAAGCCUGACGGAGCAACGCCGCGUGAGUGAUGAAGGUCUUCGGAUCGUAAAACUCUGUUAUUAGGGAAGAACAAAUGUGUAAGUAACUAUGCACGUCUUGACGGUACCUAAUCAGAAAGCCACGGCUAACUACGU
RNAcentral lists this ribosomal RNA (496 nucleotides) under uncultured bacterium. Its description in RNAcentral is "partial 16S ribosomal RNA". It matches the Rfam family "Bacterial small subunit ribosomal RNA", at positions 28 to 506 of the family's 1533-position model. The record is from RNAcentral.